Molecule: ribosomal RNA, 425 nt
Filed under: uncultured bacterium
Lineage: Bacteria
Description: partial 16S ribosomal RNA
Rfam family: Bacterial small subunit ribosomal RNA
Source: RNAcentral
GUGGGGAAUCUUGCGCAAUGGGCGAAAGCCUGACGCAGCCAUGCCGCGUGAAUGAUGAAGGUCUUAGGAUUGUAAAAUUCUUUCACCGGGGACGAUAAUGACGGUACCCGGAGAAGAAGCCCCGGCUAACUUCGUGCCAGCAGCCGCGGUAAUACGAAGGGGGCUAGCGUUGCUCGGAAUUACUGGGCGUAAAGGGCGCGUAGGCGGACAGUUUAGUCAGAGGUAAAAGCCCAGGGCUCAACCUUGGAAUUGCCUUUGAUACUGGCUGUCUUGAGUACGGGAGAGGUGAGUGGAACUCCGAGUGUAGAGGUGAAAUUCGUAGAUAUUCGGAAGAACACCAGUGGCGAAGGCGACUCACUGGCCCGUUACUGACGCUGAGGCGCGAAAGCGUGGGGAGCAAACAGGAUUAGAAACCCCGGUAGUCC